This 223-nucleotide ribosomal RNA is filed under the name Cladosporium allicinum. RNAcentral describes it as "partial 28S ribosomal RNA". It matches the Rfam family "Eukaryotic large subunit ribosomal RNA", at positions 1 to 221 of the family's 3401-position model. Lineage: Eukaryota; Fungi; Ascomycota; Dothideomycetes; Cladosporiales; Cladosporiaceae. The record is from RNAcentral.
GUUGACCUCGGAUCAGGUAGGGAUACCCGCUGAACUUAAGCAUAUCAAUAAGCGGAGGAAAAGAAACCAACAGGGAUUGCUCUAGUAACGGCGAGUGAAGCAGCAAUAGCUCAAAUUUGAAAUCUGGCGUCUUCGACGUCCGAGUUGUAAUUUGUAGAGGAUGCUUCUGAGUGGCCACCGACCUAAGUUCCUUGGAACAGGACGUCAUAGAGGGUGAGAAUCC